AAUAUUGGACAAUGGGCGAAAGCCUGAUCCAGCCAUGCCGCGUGAGUGAUGAAGGCCUUAGGGUUGUAAAGCUCUUUUAGCAGGGAAGAUAAUGACGGUACCUGCAGAAAAAGCCCCGGCUAACUUCGUGCCAGCAGCCGCGGUAAUACGAAGGGGGCUAGCGUUGCUCGGAAUUACUGGGCGUAAAGCGCACGUAGGCGGACUCUCAAGUCGGUGGUGAAAUCCUGGAGCUCAACUCCAGAACUGCCUUCGAAACUGGGAGUCUUGAGUUCGGGAGAGGUGAGUGGAACUGCGAGUGUAGAGGUGAAAUUCGUAGAUAUUCGCAAGAAUACCAGUGGCGAAGGCGGCUCACUGGCCCGAUACUGACGCUGAGGUGCGAAAGCGUGGGGAGCAAACAGG
Molecule: ribosomal RNA, 399 nt
Filed under: uncultured bacterium
Lineage: Bacteria
Description: partial 16S ribosomal RNA
Rfam family: Bacterial small subunit ribosomal RNA
Source: RNAcentral